This 460-nucleotide ribosomal RNA is filed under the name uncultured bacterium. RNAcentral describes it as "partial 16S ribosomal RNA". It matches the Rfam family "Bacterial small subunit ribosomal RNA", at positions 338 to 795 of the family's 1533-position model. The record is from RNAcentral.
CCUACGGGAGGCAGCAGUGAGGAAUAUUGGUCAAUGGGCGAGAGCCUGAACCAGCCAAGUCGCGUGAAGGAUGAAGGAUCUAUGGUUUGUAAACUUCUUUUAUAUGGGAAUAAAGUGAGGAACGAGUUCCUUUUUGUAUGUACCAUAUGAAUAAGCAUCGGCUAACUCCGUGCCAGCAGCCGCGGUAAUACGGAGGAUUCGAGCGUUAUCCGGAUUUAUUGGGUUUAAAGGGUGCGUAGGGGGGUGGUUAAGUCAGUGGUCAAAUUGGGGGGCUCAACCCCCUUCCCGCAAUUGAUAUUGGCACUCUUGAGUGGAAGAGAAGUAGGCGGAAUGCGUGGUGUAGCGGUGAAAUGCAUAGAUAUCACGCAGAACCCCGAUUGCGAAGGCAGCAUGCCGGCUUCCGACUGACGCUGAAGCACGAAAGCGUGGGGAUCGAACAGGAUUAGAUACCCUGGUAGUC